GGAGAAGACACCAUGCCCAUAAAUUUGGAAAUUUCAUAAUAUUUCCAGUACAGUGCCAGUAUUGAUGGGACAGAGAUGUCAGACUACAUGAACACUAUGUAACAUAUCUGAGGCACAUCCUCACAGCCCGACAUGGAUCCACCAGCAAGAUACAGGACUAAUGGUCUGGGUUGAAGAUCAGACAACUUGAGCUUGCAUCUUGUCAGCAUUAUAGAACCAUGGAAUGGAACUUUCAAAUAUACCCCGAACCUCUGUAGAUCCAAUGGUAUUAAAAAUAACUUUCCAACUUUUUAUUCAUAAAUUUGGAAUAAGAAAAGACCUCUAAUUGGCAAUAAAACAGGAUGCACACCAGUUGAUCGAAAAUCCACACGUCAAUGUUGUUAGGUGGUUGAUGAUUGUGUAUUCAAUAAUGAAUUGAAGUCAUCUAAGUUUUGUUCAUGAAUGAUGUUAAAAGUUUUGUCCAUUCACAUUGUAAAGAAAUAUGACUUAAGUAGAAUUAAAUUUCUUCUUAUUGUUCAAAUGCAAGUCAUUGGAGCUUGUACAUUACAGCAUUCUUGAAUUCAAUCUUGCUCAAACAGGAAUAACAAAAGGCUGCACAUUCCUCUUCAUAGAAUAAAAUGAAACUGUCACAUAUAAUUAGUCCCAACUUCUUUAUUUAGAUAUUUCAAGAGUCAAAAGUAUGUAAGAAUGUUCCAUCAUUUGGGUUUUUUGUUGAUGUAGAUAUCCACGAAAGCGAUGUUGUCUUUAUUAUUUCAGUGUCAAAAGUAUAUAAAUUAAUGUUCCAUCACAUUGUCAGUUAAUUGAUGCAGAUAUCCAUUGAAAGCAAUGUCUUCUUUUUUGUUUCAGAAUCAAGUGUCCAAUAUUUUUCUCGACAACAUGGAAUGCAAAUCUGAAUAAAUGCCUCAAAUUAAAACUGCCAAAGAUGGCUUACUAUAAUAAAACUA
This 944-nucleotide long non-coding RNA is filed under the name Gigantopelta aegis. RNAcentral describes it as "uncharacterized LOC121380032, transcript variant X2". Lineage: Eukaryota; Metazoa; Mollusca; Gastropoda; Neomphalida; Peltospiridae. The record is from RNAcentral.